RNAcentral lists this ribosomal RNA (468 nucleotides) under uncultured bacterium. Its description in RNAcentral is "partial 16S ribosomal RNA". It matches the Rfam family "Bacterial small subunit ribosomal RNA", at positions 28 to 507 of the family's 1533-position model. The record is from RNAcentral.
GACGAACGCUGGCGGCGUGCUUAACACAUGCAAGUCGAACGGAAAGGCCCUGCUUUUGUGGGGUGCUCGAGUGGCGAACGGGUGAGUAACACGUGAGUAACCUGCCCUUGACUUUGGGAUAACUUCAGGAAACUGGGGCUAAUACCGGAUAGGAGCUCCUGCUGCAUGGUGGGGGUUCGAAAGUUUCGGCGGUUGGGGAUGGACUCGCGGCUUAUCAGCUUGUUGGUGGGGUAGUGGCUUACCAAGGCUUUGACGGGUAGCCGGCCUGAGAGGGUGACCGGCCACAUUGGGACUGAGAUACGGCCCAGACUCCUACGGGAGGCAGCAGUGGGGAAUAUUGCACAAUGGGCGGAAGCCUGAUGCAGCGACGCCGCGUGCGGGAUGACGGCCUUCGGGUUGUAAACCGCUUUCGCCUGUGACGAAGCGUGAGUGACGGUAAUGGGUAAAGAAGCACCGGCUAACUACGUG